This is a long non-coding RNA of Danio aesculapii, 281 nucleotides long. RefSeq lists it as uncharacterized. The transcript has 3 exons. The record is from RefSeq and is a predicted model, not a curated record. NCBI's taxonomy places the organism in Eukaryota, Metazoa, Chordata, Actinopteri, Cypriniformes, Danionidae.
AUCAUUGGAAUCAUUUUCUUCCACCUCCUCCACCUCCGACCGAGUCACUUCCGGCUGAGAUAAUGAGCGCGCCACUCUGAAGACACUUAAGGAAAUGGCAGCAACAUGGUCCUGGAGGGCUAAACUAAAACCAAAAGAUGAAGCUGCAUAUUUUUCAUCCAUGCUCAAAGAUAAGGAUGGAUUUGAAAUAAAAUAUAUAAAUUCAUUUAAAGGUUUGUUCUGAGACUGAACAACAGGAGCAUGCUUUGGUCAGCUGUGCAGCAGGAGAUGGGUCAAAGGAG